UUGCACGCUGGCGGCAUGCUUUACACAUGCAAGUCGAACGGUAACAGCACUUCGGUGGCUGACGAGUGGCGAACGGGUGAGUAAUACAUCGGAACGUGCCUAGUAGUGGGGGAUAACUACUCGAAAGAGUAGCUAAUACCGCAUGAGAUCUAAGGAUGAAAGCAGGGGACCUUCGGGCCUUGCGCUACUAGAGCGGCUGAUGGCAGAUUAGGUAGUUGGUGGGAUAAAAGCUUACCAAGCCGACGAUCUGUAGCUGGUCUGAGAGGACGACCAGCCACACUGGGACUGAGACACGGCCCAGACUCCUACGGGAGGCAGCAGUGGGGAAUUUUGGACAAUGGGCGCAAGCCUGAUCCAGCAAUGCCGCGUGCAGGAUGAAGGCCUUCGGGUUGUAAACUGCUUUUGUACGGAACGAAAAGCCCUCUUCUAAUACAGGAGGGUCAUGACGGUACCGUAAGAAUAAGCACCGGCUAACUACGUG
RNAcentral lists this ribosomal RNA (481 nucleotides) under uncultured bacterium. RNAcentral's name for it is "partial 16S ribosomal RNA". It matches the Rfam family "Bacterial small subunit ribosomal RNA", at positions 30 to 507 of the family's 1533-position model. The record is from RNAcentral.